RNAcentral lists this ribosomal RNA (458 nucleotides) under uncultured bacterium. RNAcentral's name for it is "partial 16S ribosomal RNA". It matches the Rfam family "Bacterial small subunit ribosomal RNA", at positions 28 to 507 of the family's 1533-position model. The record is from RNAcentral.
GACGAACGCUGGCGGCGUGCUUCAUACAUGCAAGUCGAACGAGAAGCUGACUUCGGUCAGCGGACAGUGGCGGACGGGAGCGUAAUAUGUAGGAAAUCUGCCUUUAGGAGGGGGACAACAGCGGGAAACUUCUGCUAAUACCCCAUAUGAGCGUAGCUGAAAUGCUAUUCUUGAAAACUUCGAUGCGUAAAGAUGAGCCUGCAUCUGAUUAGCUAGUUGGUAGUGUAAUGUACUACCAAGGAGACGAUAAGUAGCUGGUGUGAGAGGAUGAUCAGCAACAAUGGGACGGAGACACGGCCCAUACUCCUCCGGGAGGCAGCAGUAGGGAAUUGUGCGCAAUGGGCUGAAGCCUGACGCAGCAACGCCGCGUGAACGAUUAAGCCCUUCGGGGUGUAAAGUUCUGUCAGUGGGGACGUAACUUGACGGUACCCACAGAGGAAGCACCGGCUAACUCCGUG